This 855-nucleotide long non-coding RNA is filed under the name Elaeis guineensis (African oil palm). RNAcentral describes it as "long non-coding RNA (EGUI_LNC007610)". The record is from RNAcentral. Lineage: Eukaryota; Viridiplantae; Streptophyta; Magnoliopsida; Arecales; Arecaceae.
GAAACCCUUUGGUGGGAGAACGGGUCUUCUCCAAUUCUCCUCGCUCCCAUCGCCUAUAUAAAGCUGGCCACAGCUCAGCACUCAGCACGAGACCAGCAACCAGCACUAGUCGUCGCUUCCUUCGAACCUGGCGCCGCCGCCACCGCCCGCCGCCGCCAACCACCGUCGUAGUCCAUACGAAGAUAAUGAAGCCAUUCCGGUGAACCUCGGCUGCCGCGGUCCCGAUCUCCGCCGCCUCCGGUGGGGCCAAAACAUGGAACCACGGACGCACCCUCGCUACAUUCCGAAGCGCGGGAAGAUCCUGAAGCGAAUUCUUAAACGUCUCUUAUGCUCACUGUUCGGUCUCUGCAGGGGCGGUAGGGUUCGCCCCCAAGCCGAUGACCGCCGGAGAUAAGCUCCAGGGUCGACGGGGCUUCUUCUCCUAACGCCCGCAUAGAUUUUUAUAUGCGGAUGCUUGGGUUUGCUUGGGGUCCAAGAUACAAUGGAAUAAAUCGGAUACGUCCACGUUGACAGAGUUGAUGGUGGAUCAUGUGCCCGUGUAGAAAUUAGUCUGCAUGCGUUGGAGAUUAGUAUGGCAGAGUAAUUCGCGUUUUUGUUUCAGCUGUACAGCAUGGAAGAUGGAUGUGCGCACUGGAUGUUCCCGAAGAGUGCUGAUCGCGUGGAUUAGAUGGUUGUAAAUUGUAACUAUACCGAUCAUUAAAUUUGUCAACUUUGUAAAUUAUUUGUAUACGGAGUAUUGAUAAAUUAUUCAUAAUGAUGUCUUGGGGUGCAAUUAUAUGCGCAUGAUAAAUUUAUCAAGUUCAUAAUUAUUGAUUGUUUACCAAAAAACAAAAAUUCAUAAUAAUUGAUUUGAUA